This 393-nucleotide ribosomal RNA is filed under the name uncultured bacterium. Its description in RNAcentral is "bacterial SSU rRNA". It matches the Rfam family "Bacterial small subunit ribosomal RNA", at positions 28 to 424 of the family's 1533-position model. The record is from RNAcentral.
GACGAACGCUGGCGGCGUGCUUAACACAUGCAAGUCGAGCGGUAAGGCCCUUUCGGGGGUACACGAGCGGCGAACGGGUGAGUAACACGUGGGUGACCUGCCCUCAGCUCUGGGAUAAGCCUGGGAAACCGGGUCUAAUACCGGAUAUGACUCCAUGACGCAUGUUGUGGGGUGGAAAGCCUUGUGCGGCUGAGGAUGGGCCCGCGGCCUAUCAGCUUGUUGGUGGGGUGANGGCCUACCAAGGCGACGACGGGUAGCCGGCCUGAGAGGGCGACCGGCCACACUGGGACUGAGACACGGCCCAGACUCCUACGGGAGGCAGCAGUGGGGAAUCCUGCGCAAUGGGCGAAAGCCUGACGCAGCGACGCCGCGUGAGGGAUGACGGCCUCGGUU